CUCCAGAGUGCUGGGACUGCAGGCGUGCCCAGCCACGCCCGGCUCCUCCCAGACGUUUAGAUCACUUGAGAACUUCGAGUCUCCCCAAAGGCUGGAGGGAAGCCAGAGGUUGCCUAUUCCUGCAGUCAGGCGGGCGCAGGUGGGCACGGCCCGGAGUGGCCCAGGGCCCUGCGGGUACCGGGAGAUGUGCGCAUGCGCAGUCCUUUGCUGAGCCACACCCGACCCUUCGGUCCCACUGACUGGGUUUUGCAGGUCUGGAUGGAAAUAAUUCCAGGCUCUGGAGCUCCAGCGCGCCCCCACCCAGCCUGGGCCUUCCUGCCUCCCCAGUCACAGGGACUCUUGGUUAUAGGACUUCAGAAGUCUCGGACCGAGAGCCCCAACUCGGUGCUGUAGGUGCCGGCUGACUGACACCCAAAGACAGGAGGAUGGCAAAGCUGAGCCCGGGGGAGGAAGGAGCCCGCCUACACCACUGGCAGGAACAGAGACUGGUGCAACCACGUUUGACAUUUGGUGCGUGCUCCAGACGACGGCGACCGACAAAUAUUUGACAUUGCGGAGUGUCUCAGACUGCUUGGCGGGGGAGAUUCUUCCCAGUUUCGGAUACUGAAUUUGUUUUCAUAGAUGUUAAGGAUUGAAGCCGAGACUGUACGUCCCAGGCAAGCACCUCUCCUCAGAGCUGCCAGCCAGUCCUCAGCAACAACAGAGAGAAAACUUGGAGGCCGAGGAUGCUGGGGCAGACCUGUAAUCCCAGCACCUGGGAGGCUGAGACAGGACCAUACCAAGUUUGAAAUCAGUCUUGGCUGCGUAACUGAACCCAGUAAUCCGCACACACGAGGCAGCCUCUCCACCACUGCCCGCGCGCCGACUCCUCUUCCAUUUUCCUGAGAUGGAGAAUACUGAGUACACGGAACUUGGGCUAACUCUACAGGACAUCGACCGGAAUCUACAUUUCUGUGUACCGAGUCUAGAGCUUCCUGAUCCUCAGACGCGGAACAAUGCCUGGCCCAGAUGUUUGCUGGUGUAGCGCUCCAGCUCGGCUUAUGAAAAGGAGAUGGCCCUUACAGUCCCGGCCCUCAGACCUUCGGAGCCACGCCCUUUCUUUUGACUCCCUACACGUGGUAGCAGAAAGCAUUCCUUGCGACACAAUGGAACAACUUCACAGCCGCCCCCGGAGCUGGAGUUGGUAUUAAGUUACCUUUUUCAGACCACACCGGUUUACCGGAAUAGUUGGGACCAGGUCAGGGAAAGUGCGACAGCGUUACCAGCUUCGCUCGGGCCACACCUGGACGAAAAGUUGGAUGCAGAAACAAGAUCGAACUUGAGUGUGCUUUGGAAUUAAAAACAGCAAAUCGCUGCAGAAUGGAGACUGCCUGGUGGAGCUGUGUGAAAGGGGACCCGAGCCCAGGCUGUGUGGUUUAUUUCUGCUGGAACUCCCUGCUGGAGUUCCCAGGGGCUGGCCCCAGCCCAGACUCAGCUGUGCCUCCAGCAGCCGGCAGCUCCUGACCCAGCUGCACAUACCCGCCACAUCACUCCUCCUGCUGUAGAUUCAGAUCUACACCAGGUCUGCUCCUGCCCCAGACACAAGUUCCAAGCGGCACAGGCUGGAGAGAGCAUAAUUAACCUACCUCCCGGUCCAUCCUCUGACCGUCGAUAUUGGUGCAAUACAGAUCUUCUGCAUGGCAUUGCACUCCUAUUCUAGCUGCUGGCCCGCUGACUGUUUUAAUGAAAUUUAUAUCGGGUCUUAGGGGUUGUCAUUAGAUGAAAAUUAUGACUGAGUCUGCAGGCAACUCUCAGAUGAAUUUGGGAACCUCAAGAAUUAAUUAUGUUCAGAGAUGCUACAAGCUAUAUUGGUAAUUUCAUUUCUUCUCACUUCAAUUGAAUUUACCAAACAUUCAUUGCAUUCCUACUGUGUACCAAGCACUGUGGUCACAAAAAUGAGUGGGAUGUGG
This is a non-coding RNA of Heterocephalus glaber (naked mole-rat), 1949 nucleotides long. The record is from RefSeq and is a predicted model, not a curated record. Lineage: Eukaryota; Metazoa; Chordata; Mammalia; Rodentia; Bathyergidae.